GACGAACGCUGGCGGCGUGCUUAACACAUGCAAGUCGAACGGAAAGGCCCUGCUUUUGUGGGGUGCUCGAGUGGCGAACGGGUGAGUAUCACGUGAGUAACCUGCCCUUGACUUUGGGAUAACUUUAGGAAACUGGGGCUCAUACCGGAUAGGAGCUCCUGCUCCAUGUUGUGGGUUGGAAAGUUUCGGCGGUUGGGGAUGGACUCGCUGCUUAUCCGCUUGUUGGGGGGGUAGUGGCUUACCAAGGCUUUGACGGGUAGCCGGCCUGGGAGGGUGACCGGCCACAUUGGGACUGAGAUACGGCCCAGACUCCUACGGGAGGCAGCAGUGGGGAAUAUUGCACAAUGGGCGGAAGCCUGAUGCAGCAACGCCGCGUGCGGGAUGACGGCCUUCGGGUUGUAAACCGCUUUCGCCUGUGACGAAGCGUGAGUGACGGUAAUGGGUAAAGAAGCACCGGCUAACUACGUG
This 468-nucleotide ribosomal RNA is filed under the name uncultured bacterium. RNAcentral describes it as "partial 16S ribosomal RNA". It matches the Rfam family "Bacterial small subunit ribosomal RNA", at positions 28 to 507 of the family's 1533-position model. The record is from RNAcentral.